ACGAACGCUGGCGGCGUGCCUAAUACCUGCAAGUCGAACGCACUCUCGUUUAGAUUGAAGGAGUUUGCUCCUGAUUGAUAAACAUUUGAGUGAGUGGCGGACGGGUGAGUAACACGUGGGUAACCUGCCCUAAAGUGGGGGAUAACAUUUGGAAACAGAUGCUAAUACCGCAUAAAACCUAACACCGCAUGGUGUAGGGUUGAAAGAUGGUUUCGGCUAUCACUUUAGGAUGGACCCGCGGUGCAUUAGUUAGUUGGUGAGGUAAAGGCUCACCAAGACCGUGAUGCAUAGCCGACCUGAGAGGGUAAUCGGCCACACUGGGACUGAGACACGGCCCAGACUCCUACGGGAGGCAGCAGUAGGGAAUCUUCCACAAUGGACGAAAGUCUGAUGGAGCAACGCCGCGUGAGUGAAGAAGGUUUUCGGAUCGUAAAACUCUGUUGUUGGAGAAGAAUGUAUCUGAUAGUAACUGAUCAGGUAGUGACGGUAUCCAACCAGAAAGCCACGGCUAACUACGUG
RNAcentral lists this ribosomal RNA (519 nucleotides) under uncultured bacterium. RNAcentral describes it as "partial 16S ribosomal RNA". It matches the Rfam family "Bacterial small subunit ribosomal RNA", at positions 29 to 507 of the family's 1533-position model. The record is from RNAcentral.